This is a non-coding RNA of Acanthosepion pharaonis, 96 nucleotides long. Lineage: Eukaryota; Metazoa; Mollusca; Cephalopoda; Sepiida; Sepiidae. The record is from the annotation of a GenBank genome assembly.
AUUGAAACACCGGUUCCUGUACGUCACUGAAGUUAAGCAACGUCGAGUCUGGUCAGUACUUAGACGGGUGUCUACUUGGGAAUACAGGUGUUGCAA